Molecule: ribosomal RNA, 322 nt
Filed under: uncultured bacterium
Lineage: Bacteria
Description: bacterial SSU rRNA
Rfam family: Bacterial small subunit ribosomal RNA
Source: RNAcentral
GACGAACGCUGGCGGCGCGCCUAACACAUGCAAGUCGAACGAGAGAGAGGAAGCUUGCUUCCUUAAUCGAGUGGCGAACGGGUGAGUAACGCGUAAGCAACCUGCCCUUCAGAUGGGGACAACAGCUGGAAACGGCUGCUAAUACCGAAUACGUUCUUUUUGUCGCAUGGCAGAGGGAAGAAAGGGAGGCUCUUCGGAGCUUUCGCUGAAGGAGGGGCUUGCGUCUGAUUAGCUAGUUGGAGGGGUAACGGCCCACCAAGGCGACGAUCAGUAGCCGGUCUGAGAGGAUGAACGGCCACAUUGGGACUGAGACACGGCCCAG